Helianthus annuus (common sunflower) is the source of this 3776-nucleotide long non-coding RNA. RefSeq lists it as uncharacterized. The transcript is spliced from 7 exons. NCBI's taxonomy places the organism in Eukaryota, Viridiplantae, Streptophyta, Magnoliopsida, Asterales, Asteraceae. The record is from RefSeq and is a predicted model, not a curated record.
UCAUAUUUUCUAUUUUGAGACUAUCACCACAAAACUUUUUGGUUUUACACUUUACCCACAAAAAAUGUUAUGUUCUCUUACUUUUAGACCUAAAAGAGAGGGUCUGGGAGAAGCAUACAGGCCACCACGCCCAACGGUGGCGUACUGUGCGUCGGGCUUAGCUACGGUUCUCGCUUCUAGGUUUUGGCGACCUCCAUCUGUCGGUCACUACCACCGUUAUACAGCAGCACACAGUCACUCACCCGCUUAUGCCACCGAUAACCACCGCCAGGCCUCGAAUCCAGUUCCGGCGACAAACGAAAUCGAAAGUGGCAACUGAGUUAUUCCCUUUCUUCCCUUUAUCGCCGGAGGUUUUGACUUCGUCCCUCACAUCGGUUACCUGCAAAACCCUAGCCUUGCUCAACACCAUCUAUAGCCCUAAUCGAACGCUAGGGCGUCCGAAUCGUCCUCAAUCGAAGAUCCAGUAAAAAAUAACAACACCAGGAAGAACAAUGUUUCGAACUCAAAAACCCGGUUAUUCGCAAUGAGUCAGAUUUGGUUACAGUCAUGGUGCCGGAGUCACCAGCGUGAUCGGCGGUGACGGAUCGUGGUGGUGACGAUUGUUUGGAUUGGUCGCCGUCUAACAUCGUGGUGGAGGUGAGUUCCUUUGAAGAUUUGGAGACAGAGGGCCAAGGUGAUGCGUGUAAAAAGCCUUUGUGGAAUAGGUUUUCUAAUGGAGUCGUGGAUGCGGUUAGUCCGGUUAUGGGUGCAGCUUGGCUUGCGCUCAGUGAGUCAACUAAACCGACGCUUAAGCUGUCUUCAUCGGAGUCAUUAAAAGCGCUUUCUGAUACUAGCUCAAUAAUUUUAUCACAAGUUAAAAAGAUUGCGGUUUUGCAUCUGGGUAUGCUAAAAAGACUAAUGAAAUCAGCAAAAUCUAAUCGUAAGAGACUUAAACCUGGAUUCCUAGACCUGACCAAAGGAUCGCCAGAUAAUUCAAUAUCAUACAAAAGAGUUAAGACAAAUUGUUCCAAACAGUGCCAAGCAUCGAUGCUUUGCCGGAACGCAACAUCAAGCACAUGCUUUUCUUUGUUGACAUGCAUGGGUUGUGUAGCCAUACAGGUUAGAUCGUUGCUUGGGUUUUUGGUCAGCUUGCAUGUGACCUUUCCCGGGUCAGCUCUUGGAUUUUCGUUCAGCUUAUAGGUAACAUUUGCUUCGUAACAGGUCAAUCUGCAUAUGGUUGUGUCAAAUUGUUCUUACGUAUGAUUUCUUUAGCAAACUAGUAAAUGAUGAAACAAAGAAGACAAACCUCAUGAGUCUUUAUUUCAAGGCACUACAAAAAAAAUCUAUUGAAAUUGAUUCGAAACUUGCUGUAAUGUUGAUUGCUAAUUGUAGUGAAUUAUAUUUCAAAUAUUUAUAUAUAUAUAUUGACUAUAGGUGGACAACGGGUUGGACAUCAUAAUAAAAGCCAAAUACCCCGCCGCGUGCCUACGCGUCAACACUGUCAACGCGGUGUUCAUACUUCACCGGUGCGUUGCAUACUUUGUCUGCCGCAACGCGGCGGGAUACACCCUAGUUGCCUUAAAAACAAAAAGGUUUUUGCAUGACCCUUACGACAGUCAUCAGGGACCCGGCGGCAAUUGAGGGAGACCCAGAGACAGAAAAAGAGAGCGAGAGAAAGAAAAAGAAGAGAGAGACGGGAAGUUGAUUCUCGGCAAGUUGAGUAUUGUUGCAAAUAAAGCUCUACUCUCAUUCUCAAUUCAGCAAGGCGAUUAAGAUCUAUGGUACUUGUUCAGAAUCUUACCCCUUUCUCUCUUUUCGUUUUUUUUAACUCUUUUCGUUUUUGUAGACCUCAUAUCACCAGAUCCGGUAUCUUGUAUAUUUGUAGAACUCAUAUUACCCCUGUAUGUAUCUUGUAUUUUUGUGGAUCCAGGGUUUCUUCAUAUCUUUCAGAUCUGUAAAGUUAUGAUUUUUUGAGAUCUGGUAACUUCAUAUGAUUUUUUUAGAAAGUGAGGAGAAAGUUGUGGUUGUCAAAGGCAAACCUGACGAUGGCUUGCUACCAGGUAUCGCAACUCCGGUUGCAGCCGUAGCGCUACUGAGCGGGCUCAUCGAAGAUGAUGAUCUUUUCUAGAUCGGAGUCGAUUUAUGUUGGUAAUUUUUGUUUUGUUUUCUGAGAUUAAUUAAACGAUUGUGUUAUUGGUGUUGACCAUGUUGUUUCUCGCUGUUGUUACGGCUGUGAUGCUGGUGGUUGUGCUGUUGACAGUAGUAAUGAAAGGACAACCUUUUUUUGUGUUCGUGGUGAAAAGUACAGACUGUAUGUUUGUCGAUUUAUUUGCGAUUUGAAGCGUUAUCCGGCGAUAAUGGUGGCUUGCUACUUGGCGUGUCAACUCUGUUUGCAGCUGUAGUGGCACUGAGCCGUGAUCUUGAUGAAGGAUAUCGUAACACUUGAAAUGUUGAUUUGGUAACUCCGGUUGCAACCGUAGCGCUACUGAGCGGGUUCAACGACGAUGAUGAUCUUUUCUUGAUCUGAGUCGAUUUUUGUUGGUAAUUUUGUUUUGAUUUCUGAGAUUGAUUAAACGAUUGUGUUAUUGGUGUUGGCCAUGUUGUUUCUCGCUGUUGUUUCGGCUCUGGUGCUAGUGGUUGUGCUGUUGACAGUAGUAAUGAAAGGACAACCUUUUUUGUGUUCGUGGCGAAAAGUACAGACUGUAUGUUUGUCGACUUAUUUGGGAUUUGAAGCAUUAUCCGACGAUGAUGGUGGCUUACUACUUGGCGUGGCAAAUGUGUUGUAACCGUAGCGGCACUGAGCCAUGAUCUUGAUGAAGGAUAUCAUAACACUUGAAUUGCUGGUAUGGUAACUCCGGUUGCAAACGUAGCGCUACUGAGCGGGUUCAACGACGAUGAUGAUCUUUUCUUGAUCUGAGUCGAUUUAUGUUGGUAAUUUUGUUUUGAUUUCUGAGAUUGAUUAAACGAUUGUGUUAGUGGUGUUGGCCAUGUUGUUUCUCGCUGUUGUUUCGGCUGUGAUACUGGUGGUUUUGCUGUUGACAGUAGUAAUGAAAAGACAGGCUUUUUUGUGUUCGUGGUGAAAAGUAUAGACUGUAUGUUUGUCAAUUUAUUUGGGAUUUGAAGCAUUAUCUGGCGAUCAUGGUGGCUUGCUACUUGGCGUGGCAACUCUGUUUGCAGCCGUAGCGGCAUUUCUUAUCACGUUUGGCUAUUGACGAUGUAUCAUAUCUCAUCGUAGCAGAUGUUUUUCACAGAGAUUUGAAGCCGAAAAAUAUAUUGGAAGAUGCUGACUGCAAACUCAAGAUCUGUGACUUUGGUCUUGCAAGAGUCACGUUCAACGAUACACCCAAUGCAAUAUUCUGGACAGUGUGUCGCUAACUUCUCUAAUAUACAGUUUAUCGUUGAAGCUAGGACCCCUUUUAUUAGCUUUAUUUUUUGGGAUUAUUGCAUGUGAUUUGAGGUGCACAAACCGGCGUAAACAAAAUUUGACAAUUUGUAAUGACAGUUGGUUAAUAACCGGUUAUUUUCAAAAAAUUUUCAGUGUUUUUUUCGGUUAACCAGUACAUCGGUUAAAAAUUGGGUAAAAAUAACCACUUAUUUCUAAAAAAAACCCUAACCUGUUACUAACUUGCGGUUUCAAAAAUGACCACUCAUUGGAACCUCAUCGAUAAGUUAUUAACCAUUUACAAUUUUAACCGGUUACUUUGUGCACGUCUACCCGUGAUAUUUGUAAUCUAACCAUUCAUUUUGCUUUAACAAUUGUCAACUACUAAACCUGUCAAAUACUAGCCCUUUUACUG